RNAcentral lists this long non-coding RNA (610 nucleotides) under Homo sapiens (human). RNAcentral describes it as "non-protein coding lnc-NUBPL-1:6". Lineage: Eukaryota; Metazoa; Chordata; Mammalia; Primates; Hominidae. The record is from RNAcentral.
GGAGACUGCGGCCCAAGUUAGGAUUAGGACAGCGGUUUUUCAGUCCGGAGAUUCCGGCCACAACUAUUUUUGUCUGUUUUUAUCGUAAGCCAGAGUCUUUGGGUGCAGCUCUGGGACACCUAAAGGGCCUGGAGAAAUUCAGGCGGGGCCAGUGCUGUGGGGGUAGAUGUUAGACGUGGAAGGGACCCUAGAGAGCCUUGACUGUGAGGACUGAGGGCCUCCUUUGUUGCCCAGGCCGGAGUGCAGUGGCUAUUCACAGGUCGAUAAUGCAAUCAUGGUGCACACUACAGCCUUGAACUUCUGGGCUCAUGUGAUCCUUCUGCCUCAGCCUCCCAGAAAUAAGAAGAAAAAAAAGGAUAUUACCAACAAUGGAAGAGGAAUGCAGAGUGGCAACAGCUCCAAGUGGACCUGGCAGACUAUGAACACUAGAAUCACCAAGGAAACAUGGAGCUAUGAAAUGGCAAAAGGCUGUGUGAAAACCCUGACGCUUUUUGGUUCAGCCUUUAAAAACCAAAUGAAAACUCAAGAGAUACAAGAAUGUGGUUAUUUUGAUGAACAACUCACAAACUAGUUGAAUUAAAAGAAACUGGUUCAAAUGAACACAAACCUA